CCUGGCUCCGUAUGAACGCUAGCUACAGGCUUAACACAUGCAAGUCGAGGGGCAGCAUGGUCUUAGCUUGCUAAGGCCGAUGGCGACCGGCGCACGGGUGAGUAACACGUAUCCAACCUGCCGUCUACUCUUGGACAGCCUUCUGAAAGGAAGAUUAAUACAAGAUGGCAUCAUGAGUCCGCAUGUUCACAUGAUUAAAGGUAUUCCGGUAGACGAUGGGGAUGCGUUCCAUUAGAUAGUAGGCGGGGUAACGGCCCACCUAGUCUUCGAUGGAUAGGGGUUCUGAGAGGAAGGUCCCCCACAUUGGAACUGAGACACGGUCCAAACUCCUACGGGAGGCAGCAGUGAGGAAUAUUGGUCAAUGGGCGAGAGCCUGAACCAGCCAAGUAGCGUGAAGGAUGACUGCCCUAUGGGUUGUAAACUUCUUUUAUAAAGGAAUAAAGUCGGGUAUGGAUACCCGUUUGCAUGUACUUUAUGAAUAAGGAUCGGCUAACUCCGUGCCAGCAGCCGCGGUAAUACGGAGGAUCCGAGCGUUAUCCGGAUUUAUUGGGUUUAAAGGGAGCGUAGAUGGAUGUUUAAGUCAGUUGUGAAAGUUUGCGGCUCAACCGUAAAAUUGCAGUUGAUACUGGAUAUCUUGAGUGCAGUUGAGGCAGGCGGAAUUCGUGGUGUAGCGGUGAAAUGCUUAGAUAUCACGAAGAACUCCGAUUGCGAAGGCAGCCUGCUAAGCUGCAACUGACAUUGAGGCUCGAAAGUGUGGGUAUCAAACAGGAUUAGAUACCCUGGUAGUCCACACGGUAAACGAUGAAUACUCGCUGUUUGCGAUAUACAGCAAGCGGCCAAGCGAAAGCGUUAAGUAUUCCACCUGGGGAGUACGCCGGCAACGGUGAAACUCAAAGGAAUUGACGGGGGCCCGCACAAGCGGAGGAACAUGUGGUUUAAUUCGAUGAUACGCGAGGAACCUUACCCGGGCUUAAAUUGCAGAUGAAUUACGGUGAAAGCCGUAAGCCGCAAGGCAUCUGUGAAGGUGCUGCAUGGUUGUCGUCAGCUCGUGCCGUGAGGUGUCGGCUUAAGUGCCAUAACGAGCGCAACCCUUGUUGUCAGUUACUAACAGGUUCCGCUGAGGACUCUGACAAGACUGCCAUCGUAAGAUGUGAGGAAGGUGGGGAUGACGUCAAAUCAGCACGGCCCUUACGUCCGGGGCUACACACGUGUUACAAUGGGGGGUACAGAGGGCCGCUACCACGCGAGUGGAUGCCAAUCCCAAAAACCUCUCUCAGUUCGGACUGGAGUCUGCAACCCGACUCCACGAAGCUGGAUUCGCUAGUAAUCGCGCAUCAGCCACGGCGCGGUGAAUACGUUCCCGGGCCUUGUACACACCGCCC
This 1382-nucleotide ribosomal RNA is filed under the name uncultured bacterium. RNAcentral's name for it is "bacterial SSU rRNA". It matches the Rfam family "Bacterial small subunit ribosomal RNA", at positions 18 to 1395 of the family's 1533-position model. The record is from RNAcentral.